CCUGCUGCUAGGCUCGAGCUUAUCCCAGAGCCCAAAGGACCCUUAGCCUUGAGCCCUUUCCUCCCCUCUCCUUCCCCAGCCCCUUCCCUGAAGCUCCCUGGAGCGAUGAGACCCUGCAGCUGGCCCUGGCUCAGGUGGCCUUGGCCAGAGCCGGAACCCCAGAGACAGAACCUCCAAAUGACCGCCUGGGAGGCCGAGGGCCACGUGGCUGGUGAGAACGGCUCCCAGACUGGGGCCCAGGGGCCUUGGGAGCCCCCUCCCCUCUUCCUUCCCUUCCAGAACAAGCUUUUCCAGCCCCGCCGCUGCAGAGCCAGGUUUCUGGCUGUGUGGAUUGUUUUCCACCCCUGGGGCUUGGGUGGCAAGAGAGAAGGCUGGGAAGCUGAUUGCCCACGUGGUGUUCUGCCCUUCCCUCACCGCCUCCUCCAGAGGCGCCCCAGGGACCCUCAAGGCUGAAACAAAGGCAGAAACCAGACCCAGUCUUAACAGAAAAGGCACAGAUGCUGGGGCGCUCAUCAAGUCUGGCCUUUUGGACACACAUCAGGUGGAAGCUGUGAAUAGUCCUGCCAGGGCUGCCCAGUCUGGAGCUCUGGGUGGUUAGGUAGUCCUGGGGCACCAGGGUUUCUUCUGACACAGAGAAGGGCGUGGCUUCCUUUCCAGUGGAAAGCAAAUUGGUGGGAGAGGGGAAGACCCAUCCCAGACCUUGUCUCAGCUGGGUAAGGUCCUGGGGUCCUGCAGGGUGUCCCUCACAGAGCCAGGAUGCUGAAAGAAAACAUCUGUCCCAGGCCUCUCGCAGCUCAAAGUCUGGAAGUAAACAAACAAAAUAUGAUGGGCUGAGAGCUCCCAACAACCCCCAGCCAAGGAAGCAAUCCAGAGGACGUGCAGUCAGACUGCCAAGGUGCUCCCUGCAAAGGCAGGGUGGCGGUAAAGCAGAGCAGGCUAAGGAGGCCGCAGACCCUGCGCCCCAUGUUCCCCAGUUCUGUAGACUGGCCACACUGCAGAGAGCCGGAGACACCAUCAGAAUGGAGGCAACGUCUGGGCCUUGAGUGCUGGAAUGAGCUGGAAUGUCAGAGCUGAAGCCCAGUUGGAGCUCAAGUCUUUGCUCGGGCUGCGAAAGAUGGGGGCUGGGAUUGGAGGCUGCAGAAAGAAAGGCGCUUCUCUGAAGGAUGGAAAAAUCGAUGCCCGCGGAUGAGCGGGUGCAAAGCAGGUGCAGACAGCAGCGCCGGGGAGAAGGCCAAGGGCAGGGGAGUCAGGCGCCUGGGGUCCUGCGGCUGUUCCCCAUCUCCUAGGACACACUCCGAGGCAGAUUGCUUCUGCCAUCUUGUCAAGAAACUCAAUGUGGACUCCUGGUGGAAGAGAAUUGAGAUGACCUACCUGGCAACCCUGAUAGCUCAGAUGAACACCCAGCACUGAUCUCCUUUAGGAUGGACUGGUUGGAUCUCCUUGCAGUCCAAGGGACUCUCAGGAGGACUGGCAUGCUGCAAUUCAUGGGGUCGCAAAGAGUCAGACAUGACUGAGCGACUGAACUGAACUGAACUGAAAGAUUCCAUGUGCUGCAAUGAAGAUUGAAAAUCCUGCAUGCUACAACUAAGACCCAAUGCAACCAAAUAAAUUUUUUUUUGAAAAAAAAAAAAAGAAAGAAAUUUCAGACAAAGACUUGAGAAAUUUUACCACUCACAGAGUUUUGCUUAAAGAAUUAAUAAGGGAUUACCUAAGGAGAGAGCUCAAGCCCUGUACCAGGUAGUUCUCCAGGACAGCUGUGAUUGGCUCAGCCAUUGCACCUCCACAUCACCAGAUGCUCCUGUACUUACUGAAGCAAAGAACAUAGAAUUGGAGAGUCUUGUACCAGCAAUUCAUACUGUUCUUGAUACUGUUCAUGGGGCUCUUGCUGCAAGAAUGCUGGAGUGGUUUACCAUACCCUCCUCCAGAUUUUAUUUUUCUUGGGUUCAAAAAUCACUGCAGAUGGUGACUGCAUCCAUGAAAUUAAAAGAUGCUUGCUCUUUGGAAGGAAAGCUAUGACAAACCCAGACAGAGUAUUAAAAAGCAAAGACAUCACUUUGCCAACAAAGGUCCACAUAGUCAAAGCUAUGGUUUUUCCAGUAGCCAUGUACAGAGGUAAGAGUGGGACCAUAAAGAAGAACAAGGGUCGAAGAGCUGAUGCUUUUGAACUGUAGUGCUGGAGAAGACUCUUGAGGGUCCCUUGGACUGCAAGGAGAUCAACUCAGUCAAUCCUAAAGGAAAUCAACCCUAAUAUUCUUUAAAAGGACUGAUGCUGAAGCUGAAGUACUUUGGCCACCUGAUGAGAAGAGCUGACUCAUUGGAUUAGACCCUGAUGCUGGGAAAGAUUGAAGGCAAAAGGAGAAGAGGGCAGCGGAGGAUGAGAUGGUUAGAGAGCAUCACCGACUCAAUGGUUAUGAAUUUGAGCAGACUGGAGGAGGAAGUGGCAACCCACUGCAGUAUUCUUGCCUGGAGAAUCCCAUGGACAAAGUAGGUGGGCUGUGGUCAAGGGGUGGCAAAGAGUUGGAUGCAACUUAGUGACUGAACAACAACAAGUACCAGCAAUUAAGUGCCUCUACCCAGAAGUGACAUACAUUAGCUCACAUAAACUGCCAAACCCAGUGGAAAGUGCAGUGCCAGGCUGGAAGGAGUACUGGAGAGACUGGCAAACAUUGCACAUGUCACCAUACACAUAUUAAGGAAACAUGCUUUUAUUGCUAAUUUUAGACUUUGGAGCCUGAAAGACCUGAAGAGUCAACUUGAAAAGUCAUUCAGCCUUGGCUAUGUGAUGAGUAGCAGUGGAGGUCAGUAUUAAAAAAAAAAAAAAAGUGAAAUCAGGACUUCCCUGGUGGUCCAGUGGUUAAGAAUCCACCUUGUAAGGCAGGGGAUUUGGGUUUGAUCCCAGGUCGGAGAACCAAGAAUCCAUAUGCCACAGAGCAACUAAGUCCACACACUGCAACUACUGAAGCCCUUGAGCUCUGGACCUCGAGCCACAACUAAAAAGUCUGUUCUUGGCAACAAGGGAUCCCACACGUUGCACUGAAGAUCCUGUGUGCUGC
Ovis aries (sheep) is the source of this 3053-nucleotide long non-coding RNA. Lineage: Eukaryota; Metazoa; Chordata; Mammalia; Artiodactyla; Bovidae. The record is from Ensembl.